AGUUAAAAAGCUCGUAGUUGGAUUUCGGUUGGAAGCGGCCGGUCCGCCGUUCGGUGUGCACUGGCUGGUUUCAACUUCCUGCCGAGGACGCGCUCCUGGGUUUAACGAUCUGGGACGCGGAGUCGGCGUGGUUACUUUGAAAAAAUUAGAGUGUUCAAAGCGGGCUUACGCUUGAAUAUAUUAGCAUGGAAUAACACUAUAGGACUCCUGUCCUAUUUCGUUGGUCUCGGGACGGGAGUAAUGAUUAAGAGGAACAGUUGGGGGCAUUCGUAUUUCAUUGUCAGAGGUGAAAUUCUUGGAUUUAUGAAAGACGAACUUCUGCGAAAGCAUUUGCCAAGGAUGUUUUCAUUAAUCAAGAACGAAAGUUGGGGGCUCGAAGAUGAUUAGAUACCAUCCUAGUCUCAACCAUAAACGAUGCCGACCCAGGAUUGGUGAACGUUGAUUUAAUGACUUCAUCAGCACUGUAUGAGAAAUCAAAGUCUUUGGGUUCCGGGGGGAGUAUGGUCGCAAGGCUGAAACUUAAAGGAAUUGACGGAAGGGCACCACCAGGAGUGGAGCCUGCGGCUUAAUUUGACUCAACACGGGAAAACUUACCAGGUCCGGACAUAGUAAGGAUUGACAGAUUGAUAGCUCUUUCUUGAUCCUAUGGGGUGGUGGUGCAU
This 662-nucleotide ribosomal RNA is filed under the name uncultured marine eukaryote. RNAcentral describes it as "SSU rRNA". It matches the Rfam family "Eukaryotic small subunit ribosomal RNA", at positions 617 to 1285 of the family's 1831-position model. The record is from RNAcentral.